AAAAUAGUUCCUACGACAGAUGACGAUAAGAACCCCAGUGAUGAUACUGCAGAGUCUGCAGAGAAUAAAGGAAAGAAACGUCCGGUGGGUAAUAAGGAAGCUGUUCGCAAGUAUCGUGAGAAAAAGAAGGCUCGGGCUGCUUCAUUAGAGGAUGAAGUUGUCAGAUUGAGGGCUAUAAACCAGCAACUCUUGAAGAGGCUGCAGGGUCAGGCUGUAUUGGAAGCGGAGGUUGCUAGGCUCAAGUGUUUGCUUGUGGAUAUACGUGGAAGGAUUGAAGGGGAAAUUGGAUCAUUUCCAUAUCAGAAGCCCAUGAAGAGUGGCAAUACAUAUCAGCACAUAGUUAAUCCUAACUUUCCUGGUGCAUAUGUGGUGAACUCUUGCAACCUACAAUGUGAUGAUCAGGUUUAUUGCCUCCACCCAGGCGCAGAAGGUAAAAACUCAGACGGCACUGUAUUAAAUGGACAAGGCUUCAACAACUGUGAAUUUGAGACUCUCCAAUGCUUGGGUAAUCAAACCUCUGGAGUGGAGGAGGUUCCUGGAUGUGUUGUGGGUAAUAGCACACCUACUGACAACACUUCUGGUCGAAGCAAGAGAAAAGGAGGCGCGCGUACAACAACAGGUUGAUGAACAUCUUAGGAGAGCAUCAUUAUUCUUGAGAAUAAGUAUGUUUUGUUAUGUGCUCUCUACCGUGAAGAAUUCUCUACUUUGCUGAGUUCGACUUGAGAAUCUUCUUCUGGCUGUUGAGUUGGUGGUCUUGUAGGUGUUUGAGUGUCUGUUGUUUAUCAACAGUCAUGUAAAGCAGAAACAACCGAAUGGAUAUAGCUAGCAGAACUCAUGAAGAGGAUACCAAGGGGAUGCCAAGGGUUGUGGUUUUCUGUGAAGAUCUGGAAGCUUUAUUCCUCACUGUUGUAUUUAUUCAUUCUUUGAUCUUUGAUGAAUGUCGCCUCUUGCCGAUGGAUGUCUAAAUUGAUGGUUAUCGUUCUUAGUUUAUGUGAAUUUGAAAUAGAUGGUGGUCUUUUUAUGCUCGUGAUUCUCUGCUAUAAAGAGU
Molecule: unclassified non-coding RNA, 1048 nt
Filed under: Hevea brasiliensis (rubber tree)
Lineage: Eukaryota; Viridiplantae; Streptophyta; Magnoliopsida; Malpighiales; Euphorbiaceae
Source: RNAcentral